AGUUUUCUUUUCUGUUUUAUAGCCGUACUACCAUGGAAGUCUUUCGCAGAGAGAUAUGGUAGAUGGGCUAGAAGAGCAUGACAUAUACUGUUGUGUCGAUAUUUUCUCCUCGGACCUUGAAAAUUUAUGGUGGGGACACGCAAACUUCUCAACAGGCCGUACCAAUAUCCGCAGCUGGUCUCCAAGGUGAAGAGUCUCUAGUCGAUAGAAUAAUGUAGGUAAGGGAAGUCGGCAAAUUAGAUCCGUAACUUCGGGAUAAGGAUUGGCUCUGAAGAUUGAGAUAGUCGGGCUUGAUUGGGAAACAAUAACAUGGUUUAUGUGCUCGUUCUGGGUAAAUAGAGUUUCUAGCAUUUAUGUUAGUUACUUGUUCCCCGGAUAGUUUAGUUACGUAGCCAAUUGUGGAACUUUCUUGCUAAAAUUUUUAAGAAUACUAUUUGGGUUAAACCAAUUAGUUCUUAUUAAUUAUAACGAUUAUCAAUUAACAAUCAAUUCAGAACUGGCACGGACUUGGGGAAUCCGACUGUCUAAUUAAAACAAAGCAUUGUGAUGGCCCUAGCGGGUGUUGACACAAUGUGAUUUCUGCCCAGUGCUCUGAAUGUCAAAGUGAAGAAAUUCAAGUAAGCGCGGGUCAACGGCGGGAGUAACUAUGACUCUCUUAAGGUAGCCAAAUGCCUCGUCAUCUAAUUAGUGACGCGCAUGAAUGGAUUAACGAGAUUCCUACUGUCCCUAUCUACUAUCUAGCGAAACCACAGCCAAGGGAACGGGCUUGGAAUAAUUAGCGGGGAAAGAAGACCCUUUUGAGCUUGACUCUAAUCUGGCAGUGUAAGGAGACAUAAGAGGUGUAGAAUAAGUGGGAGAUAUUAGACCUCGGUUUGGUAUCGUCAAUGAAAUACCACUACUCUUAUUGUUUCCUUACUUACUUGAUUAAAUGGAACGUGUAUCAUUUCCUAGCCAUUAUACGGAUAUAUUUAUUAUAUCUUAUGGUAUUGGGUUUUGAUGCAAGCUUCUUGAUCAAAGUAUCACGAGUUUGUUAUAUAAUCGCAAACAAAUUCUUUAAUAAAACGAUGCAUUUAUGUAUUUUUGAUUUGAAAAUUUGGUAUAACUCCAAUUACUCAGGUAUGAUCCAAUUCAAGGACAUUGCCAGGUAGGGAGUUUGACUGGGGCGGUACAUCUCUCAAAUAAUAACGGAGGUGUCCCAAGGCCAGCUCAGUGCGGACAGAAACCACACAUAGAGCAAAAGGGCAAAUGCUGACUUGAUCUCGGUGUUCAGUACACACAGGGACAGCAAAAGCUCGGCCUAUCGAUCCUUUUGGUUUAAAGAGUUUUUAACAAGAGGUGUCAGAAAAGUUACCAUAGGGAUAACUGGCUUGUGGCGGCCAAGCGUUCAUAGCGACGUCGCUUUUUGAUCCUUCGAUGUCGGCUCUUCCUAUCAUUGUGAAGCAAAAUUCACCAAGCGUUGGAUUGUUCACCCAUGCAAGGGAACGUGAGCUGGGUUUAGACCGUCGUGAGACAGGUUAGUUUUACCCUACUAAUGACAAAACGUUGUUGCGACAGCAUUCCUGCGUAGUACGAGAGGAACCGCAGGUACGGACCAAUGGCACAAUACUUGUUCGAGCGAACAGUGGUAUGACGCUACGUCCGUUGGAUUAUGCCUGAACGCCUCUAAGGUCGUAUCCGUGCUGGACUGCAAUGAUAAAUAAGGGGCAAUUUGCAUUGU
Molecule: ribosomal RNA, 1717 nt
Filed under: Drosophila melanogaster (fruit fly)
Lineage: Eukaryota; Metazoa; Arthropoda; Insecta; Diptera; Drosophilidae
Description: eukaryotic LSU rRNA
Rfam family: Eukaryotic large subunit ribosomal RNA
Source: RNAcentral